This 160-nucleotide ribosomal RNA is filed under the name uncultured bacterium. Its description in RNAcentral is "partial 16S ribosomal RNA". It matches the Rfam family "Bacterial small subunit ribosomal RNA", at positions 333 to 508 of the family's 1533-position model. The record is from RNAcentral.
AGACUCCUACGGGAGGCAGCAGUGGGGAAUAUUGCACAAUGGGGGAAACCCUGAUGCAGCGAACGCCGCGUGGAGGAAGAAAGGUCUUCGGAUUGUAAACUCCUGUUGUUGAGGAAGAUAAUGACGGUACUCAACAAGGAAGUGACGGCUAACUACGUGC